Podarcis lilfordi (Lilford's wall lizard) is the source of this 3779-nucleotide non-coding RNA. Lineage: Eukaryota; Metazoa; Chordata; Lepidosauria; Squamata; Lacertidae. The record is from the annotation of a GenBank genome assembly.
CCAUGUUCCCUCAGAAACUCAAAGACCAUCAGAGCAGACAGGCUACCUCAGCGCAGCUGGCCGAUGGAAGCCCCUCGCUUGGGAACUUAAUGCAGCCCAUCCCAAGAAACGAUGGCAAGACACAGAAAGCGCUGCAGCUGCAGGUCUAAGCGCCGAGGGGGGCGGCGCAAGAAAGGGAGGAGGGGAAAGAAGAAAAAGAAUGCAUGCGGCAGGCAGCUAAUCAGUAAGAACAACGGUAACCACAGGACACUUGAUAUUGUCUCUUAUUAGUUUCAUAUUCAUCGGCAACUGUGAACUUAUUCUCUGAGGCACGUGGGAUGCUAAAGCAGCAUACAUGAGUGCAAAUAUGCCCAGAGGGUUUUGCUGGCACCCAUAGGACCCUGCUCUCCUGCAGAAAUUAAGUUCAAAAGAAGUAUUUUAUUCAAGAUAACAGGAGACUUUUUGCAAUCCUAAUUGUGGUGGGAAGGGGCAUUUUUGGCAGGGAUAGGGGUGUCACGUAGCUGGUGAGGGAUGUUCAUCCUUCCUUCCCCAGCUACCUCAUAGCACUUCCUGGAUAUUACAGCUGGAGGGGAAAGGUUAGCUCUUGGCUUCCUAGCUGCAUUCUCCAGGGAGGUUUCCCCUCCCCCAUUAGGCUUUAAAAAAGCAAAAACACUUUUUCCAAGACAAAUUAUUGGCUGCAGGGGAAAGAGUGUGUUUGCCAUGUAUGCAUGAUGCACAGUUGUGGUGCGUGGAUUGUGCUCACAAUAGUUUCUCUGGUUUGCAAAUGUGCCCACAGGCCCCAAAAAAGCUGGUGACCCCUGCUGUAGAAGAACACUGUUGACUCACAACUUGCACAUGUUUAACUUGGCUUAGCAGCUGGCCAGCUGCAAUCGCACAAAUUAAAUGCACACAAGGCAGAAAGCUUAAAAGCUUUCAAGCUCUCAGAUUUACUUAGUGGGCUCUGGAAUGUUCUGGCCUUGUGAGAUCUCCGGUGGCCCCAUGGGAGCCUCCCACAGGGUGAGGGGAGGCAAGGCCCACAGAGUGCACCAGCUUCAGAAAGGUAGGGAUGCUUGUGCACAGGCAGUUCCAGGUUGUUCUAAUAUGCAGUUUUGGCUUUACACACACUCUCCAGAAUAUAACUUCAGUGCAAGUUGUGAGUCAACUAAAAGAGCUAAACUAGGCAAGGACGUGUGCAUUUCAAGAAUCUCACCUGCUUGCACAUUGCCCACAGAAAUGUACACAGUGAUUUCACUAUCACACCUCUAAGCAAAUUGUUCUUAUCUUUUGUUGCAAAUUAGGUAUGACUUUUAGACGUCACCCAUUUAAAGUGAUCCUCCUUAACUUUAAGCCUGAGCUACUCCAAAACAGAACAGCUUCAGGGGAGAUCCAGGAUAUUCUUUGUUCCAUUAAGACCAAGGUUCCAGAAUCCAAUGUAUGUUCCUUACUUCAGAAUACUAUGCUGCCAUAGAACAUUUAUAGCUCCAUAGCAGCAGUUGUGUUUGACAGUUUGCAUCACAACGCAGCCUCAUGUGAACAGGUAUCAGUGGUUCUUCACUCAUAGGGAUUCUGAAGACCUAUUCCCACCCGCCCUCACUGACAUCACCAUUAGUUUUUUUAUUCUUCUGGCUGUCAGUCAGAAAUUCAACAUAAUGACUUCAGCUUGCAUUGCAGCUGUUAAAGACACAGCCACUCUGCCAGGAAAAGAUGGCAACCCUAGUCCCAUUCUUGCUAAAACUUUUGUAACACUACUGGAUUCUGGGAGGGUUAGCAGCAUUACGUUGCCUGCUUCUCUGAUAAGCGAAUAUGCACUCUUCUCCAUGAACCCACUCCUGUCUUCUGGAAAGCCAGGAAAGCUGUUGCUGGUCUACAAGCCGCUACCAUAGAAUUGUAGAGUUGGAAGGUACCCCAAGGGACAUGUGGUCCAAUCACCUGAAAAGCAGGAAUCUUAAUUGUGUGGUGAAACCCCGGGCCCCGCAGCUCCCUCCGAAAUAAAUACACAAACACAAGUAUAUUGGGUUAAUGGGAUAAAUAAGGCCACAACUUUAUUGGUUACAGAUGUGAAUGGUUUGGCUUAGGCAAUUGGGUGAAGCGAGACUAUAUCCUGAACUCCUGCCCGUCUGCAGGAAGUCUCAUAAGGUCAACCACCAGACGGGGGAGCCCUAUGAUAUACAUCAAUUAAGAAUACCUCCUAGGUCACCGUUGGGGUGGUGGCAUGGUCCUAGCCCAUGCCCAGGCUUCAGACAGGAACCUAACCCCCGGAUUCCAUUAACAGGAUACCCUUAAAGUGGAGGGGCAGGCAGAGGCAACAACCUCCCGUCCCAUAAUAAGGCUUACACAAUGCCUAACCACAACUCGAGCCAAAAGGCUCGCCACCCUUUGGCUCAUAUAUCUCAUCUAUCGUAUAUCAAAGAUGGCUAGUAUAUCUCCUCUUAGUUUCCUCUUUCCCAGGCUAAACAUAUUCAACCCCCUCAACUGUUCCUCAUAAGGCUUGGUUUCCAAACCCUUGAUCCUUCUGACCUUCUAGAAUAAGACAAUGCUAUUUCACUUGAGCUGCUUCUACAGCAAAGAUUUGAACUGUCCUUCCAUAGUAUCAGCAACCUAAGAUAACACUAUUAUCCAGCUUCUAGAACAGGCAUCCCCAAACUCGGCCCUCCAGAUGUUUUGGGACUACAGUUCCCAUGAUCCCUGACCACUGGUCCUGUUAGCUAGGGAUGAUGGGAGUUGUAGUCCCAAAACAUCUGGAGGGCCGAGUUUGAGGGUGCCUGUUCUGAAAGAAAAAAAGAACAACAUUGAAAGGUUGUCCUUUUAAAGGAAGGCUGGAAUAACCAUUUGAGGUAUGAUUUGGAAGUACAGUGAACCAGCAGCACACUGACUUUCCCUCAAGGAGUCCAGCAUAAACUGAAAUUAGUCACACAAAUACUCUUGUCUGUGCUUGUGCUUGAAAAACUAUAAGGCAGAUUCUCCUACACAACUGGGUGGGUCUUGCUUCUGCUGUUUGAGUACUAAAGUACACCAUUGUUUCCCAACCUUGGGCCUCCAGCUGUUUUUGGACUACAACUCCCAUCAUCCCUAGCUAGCAAGACCAGUGGUCAGGGAUGAUGGGAAUUGUAGUUCAAAAACAGCUGGAGGCCCAAGGUUGGGAAACACUGAAGUACACAAUAACACCUCAAGCAUGAGAGCUCCAAUGCAGACCCACCAUAGGCAGGUUAUUUAUUUAUUAAUCCAUAUAUAUCCCGCCUUUUCUCCAAUGAGUUCAAGGCAGUAUAUAUGGUUCUUCAACCACCAUUUGCCAUGCUGCAUGUGGGCUGAUGGGAGUUGGAGACCAACAGCUCCUUGAGGACCACAGGUUCCCCAUCCUUGCAGCAAGUGAGGCCAUUCUACUCAAAGUUGUAAAUCUGCCUUUUCAAUUAUAAACACAUUGUGCUCAUGUGCUCAACAGGGUAUGUCCGCAUUACAACCACCUGCCGGUACAGGAGAAAGUAAGAAGGGAUCUCCGGGCUGCUAUGAAAUUGUUUGUCGUGUUAAGCAACCAACCACCACAAAGGAAUCUCCUCCUUGACUGUGAACAACAACCAUCGGAAGUCAUCAGCCACAACAUCUAAGGGACCAAAACUCUGGAGAUGCUGCUGCCUUAAUGGCAGCAAUGGCAGGCUGUCAAUACAGCUACAAAUGCAAGUGAUUGUGUGAUAUAUUCCUCCAGCUGAUAAGUCUUUUUGUUUUGUUUCACCUUGAGCAGAAGUACCCAGCAGUGGAAUAACAAAGAAUGAAAUUGAGAGAUAUUUGUAAUUAACCCUCAAGAA